This 346-nucleotide unclassified non-coding RNA is filed under the name soil metagenome. RNAcentral describes it as "partial contains 5.8S ribosomal RNA, internal transcribed spacer 2, and large subunit ribosomal RNA". The stretch from base 1 to 120 matches the Rfam family "5.8S ribosomal RNA", at positions 35 to 154 of the family's 154-position model. The record is from RNAcentral.
GAUGAAGAACGCAGCGAAAUGCGAUAAGUAAUGUGAAUUGCAGAAUUCCGUGAAUCAUCGAAUCUUUGAACGCACAUUGCGCCCGCUGGUAUUCCGGCGGGCAUGCCUGUUCGAGCGUCAUUUCAACCCUCAAGCCCCCGGGUUUGGUGUUGGGGAUCGGCUCUGCCUUCUGGCGGUGCCGCCCCCGAAAUACAUUGGCGGUCUCGCUGCAGCCUCCAUUGCGUAGUAGCUAACACCUCGCAACUGGAACGCGGCGCGGCCAUGCCGUAAAACCCCAACUUCUGAAUGUUGACCUCGGAUCAGGUAGGAAUACCCGCUGAACUUAAGCAUAUCAAUAAGCGGAGGA